Molecule: ribosomal RNA, 339 nt
Filed under: uncultured soil bacterium
Lineage: Bacteria
Description: bacterial SSU rRNA
Rfam family: Bacterial small subunit ribosomal RNA
Source: RNAcentral
AGAACGAACGCUGGCGGCAUGCCUAAUACAUGCAAGUCGAACGAAGGCUUCGGCCUUAGUGGCGCACGGGUGCGUAACGCGUGGGAAUCUGCCCCUUGGUUCGGAAUAACAGUUGGAAACGACUGCUAAUACCGGAUGAUGACGAAAGUCCAAAGAUUUAUCGCCCAGGGAUGAGCCCGCGUAGGAUUAGCUAGUUGGUGAGGUAAAGGCUCACCAAGGCGACGAUCCUUAGCUGGUCUGAGAGGAUGAUCAGCCACACUGGGACUGAGACACGGCCCAGACUCCGUACGGGAGGCAGCAGUAGGGAAUAUUGGACAAGUGGGACGAAAGCCUGAAUCC